AGUGAACGCUGGCGGUAGGCCUAACACAUGCAAGUCGAACGGCAGCACAGUAAGAGCUUGCUCUUACGGGUGGCGAGUGGCGGACGGGUGAGGAAUACAUCGGAAUCUACUUUUUCGUGGGGGAUAACGUAGGGAAACUUACGCUAAUACCGCAUACGACCUACGGGUGAAAGCAGGGGAUCUUCGGACCUUGCGCGAUUGAAUGAGCCGAUGUCGGAUUAGCUAGUUGGCGGGGUAAAGGCCCACCAAGCCGACGAUCCGUAGCUGGUCUGAGAGGAUGAUCAGCCACACUGGAACUGAGACACGGUCCAGACUCCUACGGGAGGCAGCAGUGGGGAAUAUUGGACAAUGGGCGCAAGCCUGAUCCAGCCAUACCGCGUGGGUGAAGAAGGCCUUCGGGUUGUAAAGCCCUUUUGUUGGGAAAGAAAAGCAGCAGGUUAAUACCUCGCUGUUCUGACGGUACCCAAAGAAUAAGCACCGGCUAACUUCGUG
This 492-nucleotide ribosomal RNA is filed under the name uncultured bacterium. RNAcentral's name for it is "partial 16S ribosomal RNA". It matches the Rfam family "Bacterial small subunit ribosomal RNA", at positions 29 to 507 of the family's 1533-position model. The record is from RNAcentral.